GAUGAACGCUGGCGGCGUGCCUAAUACAUGCAAGUCGAGCGAACGGACGAGAAGCUUGCUUCUCUGAUGUUAGCGGCGGACGGGUGAGGAACACGUGGAUAACCGACCUAUAAGACUGGGAUAACUUCGGGAAACCGGAGCUAAUACCGGAUAAUAUUUUGAACCGCAUGGUUCAAAAGUGAAAGACGGUCUUGCUGUCACUUAUAGAUGGAUCCGCGCUGCAUUAGCUAGUUGGUAAGGUAACGGCCUACCAAGGCAACGAUGCAUAGCCGACCUGAGAGGGUGAUCAGCCACACUGGAACUGAGACACGGUCCAGACUCCUACGGGAGGCAGCAGUAGGGAAUCUUCCGCAAUGGGCGAAAGCCUGACGGAGCCAUGCCGCGUGAGUGAUGAAGGUCUUCGGAUCGUAAAGCUCUGUUAGUAGGGAAGAACGUAUGUGUAAGUAACUGUGCACGUCUUGACGGUACCUACUCAGAAAGCCACGGCUAACUACGUG
RNAcentral lists this ribosomal RNA (497 nucleotides) under uncultured bacterium. Its description in RNAcentral is "partial 16S ribosomal RNA". It matches the Rfam family "Bacterial small subunit ribosomal RNA", at positions 28 to 507 of the family's 1533-position model. The record is from RNAcentral.